Molecule: ribosomal RNA, 204 nt
Filed under: uncultured bacterium
Lineage: Bacteria
Description: partial 16S ribosomal RNA
Rfam family: Bacterial small subunit ribosomal RNA
Source: RNAcentral
ACGCUCGACACCUACGGGAGCAGCAGUGGGGAAUAUUGCACAAUGGGGGAAACCCUGAUGCAGCGACGCCGCGUGGAGGAAGAAGGUCUUCGGAUUGUAAACUCCUGUUGUUGGGGAAAAAGAGGAUGGUACCCAACAAGGAAGUGACGGCUAACUACGUGCCAACAGCCGCCGGUAAGUACUGAGCGGGCGUGGCGAAGGACG